AUAUCCUUAACCGAACUACAUUUUAGUAAAGCAUAAAUUAUUGCAGUGUAAGGAGUUCUGAAGCAAGAUCUUUUGCCUCUCCAAAAUCCUUAUUAGGUGCUAGGUGU
This is a non-coding RNA of Arachis ipaensis, 107 nucleotides long. The record is from RefSeq and is a predicted model, not a curated record. NCBI's taxonomy places the organism in Eukaryota, Viridiplantae, Streptophyta, Magnoliopsida, Fabales, Fabaceae.